This 253-nucleotide ribosomal RNA is filed under the name uncultured bacterium. RNAcentral's name for it is "partial 16S ribosomal RNA". It matches the Rfam family "Bacterial small subunit ribosomal RNA", at positions 524 to 776 of the family's 1533-position model. The record is from RNAcentral.
UACGGAGGGUGCAAGCGUUAAUCGGAAUUACUGGGCGUAAAGCGCACACAGGCGGUCUGUCAAGUCGGAUGUGAAAUCCCCGGGCUCAACCUGGGAACUGCAUUCGAAACUGGCAGGCUUGAGUCUCGUAGAGGGGGGUAGAAUUCCAGGUGUAGCGGUGAAAUGCGUAGAGAUCUGGAGGAAUACCGGUGGCGAAGGCGGCCCCCUGGACGAAGACUGACGCUCAGGUGCGAAAGCGUGGGGAGCAAACAGG